RNAcentral lists this ribosomal RNA (492 nucleotides) under uncultured bacterium. RNAcentral describes it as "partial 16S ribosomal RNA". It matches the Rfam family "Bacterial small subunit ribosomal RNA", at positions 29 to 507 of the family's 1533-position model. The record is from RNAcentral.
AGUGAACGCUGGCGGUAGGCCUAACACAUGCAAGUCGAACGGCAGCACAGUAAGAGCUUGCUCUUACGGUUGGCGAGUGGCGGACGGGUGAGGAAUACAUCGGAAUCUACUUUUUCGUGGGGGAUAACGUAGGGCAACUUACGCUAAUACCGCAUACGACCUACGGGUGAAAGCAGUGGAUCUUCGGACCUUGCGCGAUUCACUGAGCCGAUGGCGGAUUAGCUAGUUGGCUGGGUAAAGGCCCACCAAGGCAACGAUCCGUAGCUGGUCUGAGAGGAUGAUCGGCCACACUGGAACUGAGACACGGUCCAGACUCCUACGGGAGGCAGCAGUGGGGAAUAUUGGACAAUGGGCGCAAGCCUGAUCGAGCAAUACCGCGUGAGUGAAGAAGGUCUUCGGGUUGUAAAGCUCUUUUGUUAGGAAAGAAAAGCAGCAGGUUAAUAUCUGGCUGUUCUGACGGUACCUAAAGAAUAAGCAACGGCUAACUUCGUG